GGGGUUGUGGGGUAACCUGGUUAGCCUUCGAGUCUCGGGGGCUUGAGAUCCCGGUUCAAAUCCGGGCAGCCCCA
RNAcentral lists this transfer RNA (74 nucleotides) under Candidatus Pacearchaeota archaeon. Its description in RNAcentral is "tRNA-Pro". It matches the Rfam family "tRNA". From Rfam's summary of the family: Transfer RNA (tRNA) molecules are approximately 80 nucleotides in length. Lineage: Archaea; Nanobdellati. The record is from RNAcentral.